RNAcentral lists this unclassified non-coding RNA (353 nucleotides) under Chytridiomycota sp. RNAcentral describes it as "partial contains small subunit ribosomal RNA, internal transcribed spacer 1, and 5.8S ribosomal RNA". The stretch from base 1 to 47 matches the Rfam family "Eukaryotic small subunit ribosomal RNA", at positions 1785 to 1831 of the family's 1831-position model. Lineage: Eukaryota; Fungi; Chytridiomycota. The record is from RNAcentral.
AAAGUCGUAACAAGGUAACCGUAGGUGAACCUGCGGUUGGAUCAUUAAUAAAUUUAAACUUUGCGUUUUCAACGCAAAACAACAUUCUUGUGAACUGUUAUUGUCUUUGGCGGGUUGCGUUUGCUUGAUGGUUUAAGGAAGUUUUCCUUAGGCCCAAGCCGUCUGCUUAAGGCCUUUUAGGCUUUAUGUGGCCAGCCCGUCGGUUAACUCACUGUAAUUGACCUGUAAAACGGUUGAUCCACGGUGUUUUUAACACCCCAUAUAUAAACUCUAUUAUUUUAUUAGUCGACUGAAGUUUUCACUAUGUGAAUCGUAAUGAAAAACAACUUUUGGCAACGGAUCUCUUGGCUCUU